RNAcentral lists this long non-coding RNA (1121 nucleotides) under Bemisia tabaci. RNAcentral describes it as "lncRNA ENSSSA2NGG003046". Lineage: Eukaryota; Metazoa; Arthropoda; Insecta; Hemiptera; Aleyrodidae. The record is from RNAcentral.
AUAUCUAUGAAGCCUCCCACUGCGGCGCGGCAAGGCCACUAUCUUCCGUAAGAGUCGAUAAAAAUCCAAGUUUCCUUGGAUUUGAGCCAUUUUCUCGGAUAAUGCACAUUUCAAAAUCGCGGAUUCUCAGUGCUGGGGGACCACUUAACCUGUAGCUACGACCCUGAGAUGUUUUGUUACCAGAAGGACAUUUUUCGGCAAGUAUCUCGAUUGGUUUUCGCAGAUUUCUCUUUUCACCGUCCAAAAUGGACACCCUACUGAACCUGUUCUGCCCUCAAAAAAUCCUUAAUGAAAAUUUCACAUAUCGUGCAUAACUGCCGUUGGUCCUCUUCUGGAAACAAAGCACUUACAGAGCUUCAAGAUGUUAGAUUGCAAAUGCUGCUGCAAGCAACUACCGCAAUCUCCUUAAGUAUAAAUUUGAUAGUAUCUGCGGGCCUGUAUAGGAUGAAAACCUAACAAGAGGGAAUCCAGAAUCAAACGCAGAUUUAAAUAGUUACUAAGCAUAUAUUUUUCCAGUAAAAUUUAAAGGCUCAAUCUUAACAAAAAUGGUAUUUGCACACAGUUGCAAACAAUUUAGCUUUAUAUACAUACUUACAAAAUUGAGUUGUAAUGAAAACCUAAAGAGAUGGCAAAAUCAAAGAGGAGUUUGGGAAGAUAAAUAGUGAUUUAAAGAGGACACAGAGAGGAAAUUAAGCGUGUCUUGUAAAACAUAAGUAAUGAAAGGCUUGAGAUCUUUAAGAAAGGGACGAUCGCCGCCAAUAGACAAAUAAGUAAACAACUCUGCAGUAUUUUUAAGAAACUUUGAUUGUCAUACGUCUAGCGCUUUUUUCCCUGGAAAAGGUUCUCAUACUUAAAAUGAGAGAUCAUAACAUUAUUGCAAUCAAUACAGGGGUAGCGUUUUCAUGUGUAAAUUUUUCUUCUCAAUCAAAAGAAAACCAGGCCUGGAUGCGAGCAUGCGAGCGAAGAAAAGUCACCUACUACCCCUCUAACUUUUUUCCUAAUUGAUAUAGAAAUUUGAAACUUCGGGGAGUUCCUAGGUGUAAAGUAGCAACUAUUUGGUUUCCCUCUUGAGGGCAGGUGCAACUUUUCUUUUUCGACUACAACCCACCUCACCUUGUGAC